This 450-nucleotide ribosomal RNA is filed under the name uncultured bacterium. RNAcentral describes it as "partial 16S ribosomal RNA". It matches the Rfam family "Bacterial small subunit ribosomal RNA", at positions 354 to 796 of the family's 1533-position model. The record is from RNAcentral.
GUGGGGAAUAUUGGACAAUGGGCGAAAGCCUGAUCCAACCAUGCCGCGUGUGUGAAGAAGGUCUUCGGAUUGUAAAGCACUUUAAGUUGGGAGGAAGGGCAGUAAGUUAAUACCUUGCUGUUUUGACGUUACAGACAGAAUAAGCACCGGCUAACUUCGUGCCAGCAGCCGCGGUAAUACGAAGGGUGCAAGCGUUAAUCGGAAUUACUGGGCGUAAAGCGCGCGUAGGUGGUUUUGUAAGUUGGAGGUGAAAUCCCCGGGCUCAACCUGGGAACUGCCUCCAAAACUGCAUGACUAGAGUACGGUAGAGGGUAGUGGAAUUUCCUGUGUAGCGGUGAAAUGCGUAGAUAUAGGAAGGAACACCAGUGGCGAAGGCGACUACCUGGACUGAUACUGACACUGAGGUGCGAAAGCGUGGGGAGCAAACAGGAUUAGAAACCCGAGUAGUCC